ACGGACUGGACGGGUAGCUUGUCUCCCACAGGGAAACCCCACUUCAGCAGAUAAAUGCUGGUUCUUUGUAACUCUCCGUGAUGGUGACCACUAACACGUUGAAUUCAUUUCUGUGAUUGUUUAAACUCGCAUCUCUUGUUGCGUCGGCCACUUUAUCGCUUUAAUCUGACAAAAGUCUCCGCUGUGAGACUAAUAAAGGCUUAUCUUUGUCAGGCAUUCCCCAUUGGAACAGACCCAAACGCAGAUCGAGUAAGGUGAAUAACAAAGGAUUUAUUUUCUUAGAGGCAAAUGCGGAAAAAUACUAGGAACAGGGUGGUGAGGGCGGUCCAGAAUCCCAGGAAUUACAGUUUGUGUACUACAUUCAGUCAUGCAAGAAGGAUUUUUUACGGGAUAUCUGCCACAGUCUACAAUCCUUUGCACAGCAGAUAUGAGGCAGAGGGCUCAAGCUGCAUGUAAACCGAAAGUAGUACGAAGCCCCAGUUGGAUACUGCAUGGAACAACAAGUACUUUGUGAGGAGCAGGCAGUUUGGCCUAAAGGUAAAUGAUUUGGCACGCAGCUUCAGACUGACAUGUGGGUAAGUUGUCCUGCCCCAACAAGUUCAACCAGAUGAGGAAACUGGAGUGAAGAGUAAAAUCUGGUCAUACUCUGUUACCUUAGUGAAUGUUUUUAAUCAAUAUAAACUCUUCACAACAUUUGUUACAAAGGUUGCUGCUUCAUCACGGGUUCCCUACUAGUCUACAUGUAGAAGAAGACCAGACAACAAAGAGGGACGUGCACGGGUCCUCUGGUAUAAACAACAGCAUCCAGUCUGUUGU
Gasterosteus aculeatus aculeatus (three-spined stickleback) is the source of this 816-nucleotide long non-coding RNA. NCBI's taxonomy places the organism in Eukaryota, Metazoa, Chordata, Actinopteri, Perciformes, Gasterosteidae. The record is from Ensembl.